GAACCCCUUUUCUAUACGAAGAAGAUGUAAAAACUGUCAUCCGAUACUGAUAUGUUGAGAUGAACUUUAAGUGCAAAUCCUCAAACCCCCACUGUUGCAUAACCAAGAAAAAUGCUAUCACCACACUCUCUGCAACUCUCGACGCUCCAUUCUUCUUCUUUUACCCAUAACGUUUCUCUAAUUUACAAUCCCACCCCUUCUCUUCCAUGGCAUCCAAUGAAAUAUUCUCCAACACAGGUAUCCUGUGUUUCCACCCGACCCAAAAAGAGACCGGUUCCAACCGACGAGAAAUCGGAGGCACAAGAGCUAGUUCGGGUCCUUGUGAGGAGUUUCAGUGACAAACAACCUUUGGUCAAGACACUUAAUAAGUAUGUUAAAGUCAUGAGGACUGAGCACUGCUUUAUGCUGUUUGAAGAGCUUGGCAAGACUGACAAGUGGCUUCAAUGCCUUGAGGUGUUCAGAUGGAUGCAAAAACAACGGUGGUAUGUGGCGGAUAAUGGUUGUUAUUCGAAGUUGAUAUCAGUUAUGGGAAAGAAAGGUCAAACCCGGAUGGCAAUGUGGCUCUUUUCUGAGAUGCGUAACAGUGGAUGCAGGCCAGAUACUUCAGUCUACAAUGCACUCAUCACAGCCCACCUUCACUCCAAAGAUAAAGCUAAGUCUUUGACUAAAGCUCUUGCAUACUUUGAGAAGAUGAAAAGUAUUGAACGGUGCCAACCCAAUGUUGUGACAUAUAAUAUUAUUUUGAGAGCGUUUGCCCAAGCUCGAAAUGUAAAUCAAGUUAAUGCUUUAUUUAAAGAUCUUGAGGAGAGCAUUGUUUCACCUGAUAUCUAUACAUAUAAUGGUGUAUUGGAUGCAUACGGGAAGAAUGGGAUGAUCAGAGAAAUGGAAUCUGUACUUUCUCGCAUGAAAAUUGAUCAAUGUAAGCCUGAUAUUAUUACUUUUAAUUUGCUGAUUGAUUCAUAUGGGAAGAAGCAAGAUUUUGAGAAGAUGGAACAAGUUUUUAAGAGUUUACUAAGGUCCAAGGAGAAACCAACUUUGCCUACAUUCAAUUCUAUGAUAGUAAAUUAUGGGAAGGCACGGCUGAAAGAUAAAGCAGAGAGUGUUUUCAAGAAGAUGGCUGAUAUGAGAUACACACCAAGCUUCAUCACAUUCGAAAGUCUCAUCAUGAUGUAUGGAAUUUGUGACUGUGUUUCUAAGGCCAGAGAUAUAUUUGAUGAUAUGGUUGAAUCAGGAAAGGAGGUCAAAGUUUCUACUUUAAAUGCCGUGCUUAAUGUUUAUUGUAUGAAUGGUUUGCAUAUGGAAGCGCAUAUACUACUUGAAAAUGCACGUAGUAUUGGGGUGCCUCCAAAUUCAUCCACAUAUAAACUUCUUUACAGGGCCUACACCAAAGCUAAAAUGAAGGAGCUUGUGCAGAAGUUGCUAAAGCAUAUGGACAAAGAUGGUAUCAUCCCUAAUAAGAGGUUCUUUGUGGAUGCUUUGGGAGCUUCCAAAUCUUCAGGGGCAAGUUCGGAUUCUACCAUUCCUCUCAAAGAUUCAAACAGUCCACAGAACGUUGCCAAGACUUUGGAAGAAUGAUUGGUAGUUUGCUUUAUGGUUUCUUCUUAUCUUUUCCAAUUCAGAAGGAUUUGUAAAGUUUGUAUCACAAAGGAACAGUUGGCUAGUUUAGCCCCUGGCAGCUCGACUGCUGAAAUGAUUUUGCCAGCAUGCAGCGCGCUGACGUAUAACUGCAGCGACUAUUUUAGCGUUCUCAAAGACCAGGCUGGGAUAUUCGACUAAAUAUCUGCAGAUUAGGAUGACCAAUCUGAUCGCAGCCACAUUCCCUUGGCAAAGAAAGGAACCCGUCACUUGAAUUUUCUCACUUCUUGUGCUUCUGAUGACACCAGCCUGUGAUAGUCCUGCUAAUUUAUCUACCUCCAUGUAACAGCUUGAAAUUCUCGGUUCAGAUGUUCUUUUUUAAGAAUAUGAAACUGUCAUCUUUUAGAUGGAUUCUUUCAA
Molecule: RNA transcript, 1995 nt
Organism: Populus trichocarpa (black cottonwood)
Lineage: Eukaryota; Viridiplantae; Streptophyta; Magnoliopsida; Malpighiales; Salicaceae
Gene name: pentatricopeptide repeat-containing protein At4g39620, chloroplastic
Exons: 3
Source: RefSeq, a predicted model, not a curated record